Long non-coding RNA from Vicia villosa (hairy vetch), 6115 nucleotides. RefSeq lists it as uncharacterized. Lineage: Eukaryota; Viridiplantae; Streptophyta; Magnoliopsida; Fabales; Fabaceae. The transcript is spliced from 6 exons. The record is from RefSeq and is a predicted model, not a curated record.
GGAGAAGUGGAGAACCCACGCCGCGUGAAACACAUGUGAAACACAACGGUACUUUUUCUCUCAGUAUCUAGUAUGUCCGCGUCUAGUUGAAUUUUGAAAGAAUUGUUCUACUACUCACAAAUUCACACCUGGAGAAUUAUUUUACUACUCUCGACUCUCGAGUGAAUCCGUCAUCCAGAUCUCACUAAUUACUAAACGAGAAAAUAAAAAGGGAAAUGGGCUGUUUUAAACCGAUAAACGGGACCGUCUCUUCCACCAACCACCGUGACUCAUCCUCACUGCCACCAUCAGAGUCACCGUCUUUCUCACCAAUCACUACUACUCCUUGCCGAACACAUGAGGAUUUUGUUAUUUUAUGACUGAAUCAACACAAUUUUGUUGCCAGUGCAGAAGACUGAAUUCCUCGAGGAUCUUCUAGUGGUUCUGCUGUUGCCGGUGGUGCAAGGUGGUGCAAAGAUUGUUGAUUUCUCUUUAGGAAUUGAUACAGCAGCAAGUGCAAGAAUGCCUACAUCAUUUUGUGGAAUUUUUAGAACUGAUUCAGCAGCAGGAAUUGAUAUAGCUUCCUAAAUUGUUGAGCCCUUAUUCUCUGAAGUGAUUUUCUUAUUCUCAUAUUCACAUCUAGGAUGUUUGCUAGGGAUCCAAAGAUUCUUUUGCAAUCUCCACAGGUCACACCUGUUAGACCUACUCAGGUUGUCAUUGCAUAGGAUUGUUUUCAGCUUUCGACUCUUCCUUACGAUGUAGUUCCACAUACUGUCAUCAAAGCAGUACAAAAGUUGUGUGGAGCUGCAGAUGAUGUAAUCAGACAUGAAAUCCUUGGUGAAUAUAUGAAGGCUAAAGUUUUGGGUUUGAAACAUUUCAUGAGUGAAGAAAACAUAAAUCAAGUAUACAAGAUACCAUCACUCGCUGCACUUUCAAGUUAUCUUACUAUUUAUGACAUAGGUAUGAAUUUAAGAAUAACCAUGGUGAAAGGAUCAAUGCAGUCAAACCUGAUUUAGGUCCCAGAAUUUUAGAACGUGUAUCACAACAGGGGAGCCUAUUGAUAUUUGUCAUUCUAUAAAAGGGGAUUGCAUGGUGCUCUUACUUCUCUUCUUGGGGUAUUCUUUUUCUCUCACACCCUUGGCAUGCAUUGUUUGUCUAUAAGUCAGUUUAAUAGUUUGUGUGAAAAUUUCAGGAUUUCGGUGUUCUCGUGAUCCCGUUCCAGCUUGUUAUACAAUUGAAAUAGCUUCUUUGGGAUUGAAAGUUUGAGGUGAUGUUAGGAGGUGUUGUUGUGUGGUGUCUACUGAUGUUUAUGAGAAUUUGUUGUUUUUUCCAACUAUUCAGUUGAUUAAGAAUAGGUACAGAUUGAUGUUGUUGGUUGAGAGAGGGAAAAAUGUUAUGAGUGGAAUAAGAAAGUUAGAUGGGUUAAUGUUUUUGAUCCCGGUGAUGAGUUUCCUGAGCCUGCCGAGUAUAUACUGAUUUUGUUGGAGUUCUUAAGGUUGCUGUGCAAGCAUAUUUUCUUAAUAUUUGAGUAAAGUGAGUUUAGAUAUUUUAACUGAGAAAUUCGAGACAAAAUUGGUCAUAUACAAUGUGAAACACCGACACUAGACUAGACUCGACGUCACACAAACACCAACAAUAGUAGAUAAAUAUUCAGGUUAAAGUUUUCAACCUAGUCUAACCGCCACACAGUUCAUUAGAAUUUAUUGUGUUUUCUAUCUAAUUGCUUCAUACUUUAUUGGGUUCUUUUUGCAUGGACAAUGGAAAGAAGUUUUUGUGGCUUUUGCCUUCUUGAUACAUAUAGAUACUAUAUCUCUUUUGCAUGAGAUUUUAAUUGUUGAUUAGAUUACUUGUUACUGGUUCCUUGCACUUAUAUAUUUAGUUCAUAAUGCCGAUUAAUGAAUAUUUUGUUUUCAUUUAUUUCUUUCAGGAUGAUUAAUGAAUAUUUUGUUUUCAUUUAUUUCUUUAGCCCUUUCCACCUUCCGCAACACUACUAAUGCUAUGCUUUGGCUGGUUGGAUGGUUAAUGCCUCAUCAACUAUACCUGUCCCACAUCCUACAUGAUUUACAGAAUCAAGGUUAAAAAUUUGGUUUUCUUUAUGUCCUUUAUCCUAAAAAAAUGUGUUUACCUUGAUUUUGCCUCACAUCACAAGUCUACACAUCUUAGUUUUUUCACUUGUUUAGCUUCAUUUGAACAAAAUUAUGGUAACUAGUGUCCUAGCAAUUCAAAUUGCAUUUAUAAAACAAAAUUAUGUAACUAAGUGUGCAAGAUAGCAUGUUUUGAAGUUUUUUCUUAGUGUUUUAAGUGUUAGAGGGUUAUUUCUUAGUAUUUUAAGUGUUAGAGGGUUAGACAUUCUGAAGUUUUGAUCCUGUCAUUUGGUUAACAGUGUCUAGCGUCCAAGAACACCUUCAACCACUCCUGGAAUGGUUUAGGAUCAGUAGGAUCAGAAUAAUGAUCACUUCUAUGGAGGAGGUAAUAAUCUUCAGUUUAAAUAUGGUUAGGAUCAGAAUAAUGAUCACUUCUAUGGAGGAAGUAAUAAUCUUCAGUUUAAUAUAAUUAGACAUUUAUGUCAUCUUAGGUUUCUUAUCCUUCAAGGAUCUUCAAUGACAAGCAACCCGUCAUAACCCGGCCCAACCGAUUAAGAAAAUGGGCGGGAAUGACUUAUAUUCUUCGGCUUUAGGUAGUGCUAUUAAAUUAUUUUCCAUUCCCUAUGUCUAGGGAUCAAAUAGUAUAGAUGUUGGAUCAUGAGUAUCAUCCCAAUUUUUCUAAAGAAAUUUUAGUAUUCUUUGAGCAUCAUGAUCUAGUUGUACAUUGAAAAGCUCCGAUUACCCACAUAAUUUACACAAUAAAUUAAUGGUGAUUUAAUUAGAAAGCUCCUAUAAUCCACACAAUAAAUUUGAUGGAAAGUUGUUGAUUUAAUAUUUUCUUACCAUCAAAUUCCAAUAGAAGUGCAUUUUAAAUAAGUGAUUAUCGCCUACUAUAGCCUGGAUAUGGGUUUUUUCGUAAAACAGAUAUGGUUUUGCGUAAAACAAACCCAACAUACAUUUGCCAUAAGCGGUUUGCAUUGGAUUCACAUUUUCUAGAAAAAGAUUUGGAUCUCAUCAAUUUAGAACUUUCUUGAAGACAGAUGCCAAUUCAAACAUCUCAAAAAUGUGUUGCAUUUGAAAAUUAUCUGUAUGUUGAUAUUUUAAAAGCACAUCAUAGCAGAGUAAUAUUACUUCCUAUUACUUCUUGUGUAUCAUGAUAAUGAACUAUCUUUAAGAAACAUUUUAAGAUAAUUUCGAAAGUAGUUUCAAAUAUAAUAUAUUUAGAACUUAUCCUAAGAGAGAGUGUGCUACAUUAUUAUAGUGAAUUUGCUAUUGCAUAUCACAUAAUAAAAUACUUUUGCACCAAAUAUAUAUUCGGGAUAUAUCUGAGUGGGUUAUAUUCUUGAAUAGUUCAAAAGUAUUUUGAUAAGUGAUAUGCAAUAGCGAAUGCGCUAUCAUGUAUCACACUCUCUUAUAUGAUCAUGUAUCACACUAUAAUAUGAUUAUGUAUCACACUAUAAUAUGAUCAUGUAUCACACUAUAAUAUGAUCAAGUAUCACAUUCUCUUAUAGGAUUAAUUUUUAAAAUAUUAUAUCUAAAACUACUUUCAAAAUUAUCUUUAAAAUAUUUUUAAAAAAUACCUCAUCAUCAUAAGGAAGUAAUAUUAUUAUGCAAUGAUAUGCUUUUAAUUUCGAAGCUCUAAAUUGAUGAGAUCUAAAUCUUUUUCAUGGACAUGCGUUGCAAACCCCCUAUAUGACAAAUAUAUGAUAUGGGUAUUUUGAAGAUCUAAAUCGGGUAUUUUGAAGCUCUAAAAAAAUUUAGAUCUCAUCAAUUUAAAACUUAAAUUGAUGCAAACCCCCUAUAUGACAAAUCUAUGUUGGAUUUGUUUUACGAAAAAUCCCAUAUCCAGACUAUUGUAGGCGAUAAUCACUUAUUUGAAAUGCGCUUGUAUUGAAAUUUGAUGGUAAGAAAAUAUUAAAUUUUGGAAAUCACCAUUAAUUUAUUGUGUGGAUUAUGUAUGGAUAAUCGGAGUUUUUCAAUGGACAACUAGGUUAUGAUGCUCAAAGAAUAUUUAUAUUUCUUUAGAAGAAUUUGGAUGAUACUCAAGGUACAUAGAAAAAUCUAUGGUAAAUGUAUGUUGAAUCUGUUUUACGCAAAACUCGAAAUCCCAUGUCGAGACACAACCUGCAAAUCCAAAAACAUCAAAACCUUACCGUUAUGAUGUCAAUCUUCUCAAUAAAAUAAAGACAAUUGAAGAACUCUAAUGCUCUUGAGCUGAAAAAUCCUUUUAUUCAGAAAGUAAAAGACAUUAGCAUGCUUUUAUUGAAAAAGGUUGAGAAAAAAAAUUGUAGGUAAUAAUAAUAUACAGGUUGACUUACUAACUACUAAGUGAGCUCUGGGAGAUGGGGUUUUGCUAAAUUUAGAUGGACAAGGAUUAGGGGUGGACAAGAAUCCGGUAACUCGGUCCAAACCACCCGAACUCGAAAAAAAAGAAAAGAAACAAGCGGUUUAACACGGGCAUACGGGCCCACGAGUGACUAACUCAGUUUAAGGUGGUUUAUAAUGGGCGGAUCGGGUAAGAUUAACUGAAACAAGGGUACCCGGACCUGCCCAUACCCAUUAGCUGCACGAUAUCGUUUGGAUAUGCAGUACCCUCAGUUCCCCCUCACUCUCGUUUCUCUCGUCUCUCACUCUCGACUGAAUCCCUAGCACUAUCCACCACUUUUUUUCUCUCACUAACCACCGUCUCUCUCUCAUCAGCCAACGUCUUUCGACUUUUUCUCAUCAACCACAAUGACUCAACCUCACCGUCACCAUCAGUCACCAUCUCUCAUACAAACCAACAUGAUUUUGUUGCAAGGUUUGUUGUUUCUGAAUCUCCUGUUGAAGCUUAUGUCGUAAAUAGAUGAAACCUAGUACUUUGAAUUUACUAAAAGAGACUCAGAAGGCACAUUCAUCAACUCCCGGUUGCUUACAGUAGGACUACGGAAAAAUAUAUUUUUUGGUGUAGGACAUAAAUAUUAUUAACUUUUCUGUUAUUUUAUCAAUACAUAAUAGAUUUGUCAUUUCUAAAUAUUUUUUGGGGUUAGGCAGGGACAGAGCUUGUUCACUUUCUAAAGUUGCAUAUUGAUCUUCUCAGCUUCAUUUUGCUGCUACCAAAGAUGCCAUAUUUCGGCAUUUUAAUAAAUUUGGGGAAGUACUGAAAGCUGUUAUAGUUACUGAUUCAAUAACAGGGCAGUAAGAAGUUUAAGAUGUUCUUACACAUUAUAUAUGUUUAUCUGUUCAAGAUUUUUCUAUUCCUCUAUAUCAUUUCACUUUUUUUUGAAGCAGUGCAGCUUAUGUGGAGUUCACGCAUAAAGAAGCAGUAGAUAAUGCAUUAUCAUUGAAUCUAUAUGGAAGUGAAUAAAACUGUCAAAGCAAAUUUCAAUAGGAAGUGAAUAAUAAUAAUAAUGCUUUAUCAAAGUGAACACCCAUUUUAAGUUCUAACAAAACUGAACACAAUGUUUGUUAUUUCUUUGAAUCUAUAUGUUUUAUGAAUAAAUGGAUAGUUUCUUCCUUUGAAUUUUCAGUGUAGAAUUGCUAAACUUUCAGUUUCUUUGACAUUAAUUGGCCAAAUGAUUUGUCUUUCUUUUAACGCGUUAACUGGUAGAGCUGAUGAUGCUAAGCUUUUCUUUAAUCCAAAGAACUUGGGAGGAAAGCUAAGUUAUACUGAUCAUAAUCAUAAUCAAAAUUAUGAUCACCCUCUAAAUCAAAAUCCUAAUUCAGAAGGUUCAAACCAAAAUGAGUUUUUGAGCUUGGAUAGUCACCAUGAUCGUGGAAGAAAAAUGGACAAAUUUAAGAAAAGUUCCACUUUACCUACAAGAUUUGCUUCAUCAUCUUCAUCUACUUCGAUGGAUCAUUAUCAACAACAAGGUGUGGAGUAUAGGAAUUCAUAAGGUGGUAUGUACUUAGAUGUUAUGGAGAUCUUUUUGGAGUGAAUGUUGUUGGGAAGCAUGAUUUAGAAUUUGUAACUAGGAAAAGCUAGUUAUGUGUUUCUUUUUCAUGUGUUUGUUUUUCACUAUUGUGUAUGUGUUUUCUUAUGUAUUCCUCUUAAUGAAACUUUAUUAAUGAUC